UGGGGAAUUUUGGACAAUGGGCGCAAGCCUGAUCCAGCCAUGCCGCGUGCGGGAAGAAGGCCUUCGGGUUGUAAACCGCUUUUGUCAGGGAAGAAAUCUUCUGAGUUAAUACCUCGGGAGGAUGACGGUACCUGAAGAAUAAGCACCGGCUAACUACGUGCCAGCAGCCGCGGUAAUACGUAGGGUGCAAGCGUUAAUCGGAAUUACUGGGCGUAAAGCGUGCGCAGGCGGUUUUGUAAGACAGAGGUGAAAUCCCCGGGCUCAACCUGGGAACUGCCUUUGUGACUGCAAGGCUUGAGUGCGGCAGAGGGGGGCAUGGAAUUCCGCGUGUAGCAGUGAAAUGCGUAGAUAUGCGGAGGAACACCGAUGGCGAAGGCAAUCCCCUGGGCCUGCACUGACGCUCAUGCACGAAAGCGUGGGGAGCAAACAGGAUUAGAUACCCCUGGGUAGUCCACGCCCUAAAACCGAUGUCAACUGGUUGUUGGGAAGGUUCCUUCUCAGUAACGUAGCUAACGCGUGAAGUUG
RNAcentral lists this ribosomal RNA (525 nucleotides) under uncultured bacterium. RNAcentral's name for it is "partial 16S ribosomal RNA". It matches the Rfam family "Bacterial small subunit ribosomal RNA", at positions 355 to 867 of the family's 1533-position model. The record is from RNAcentral.